This 1528-nucleotide long non-coding RNA is filed under the name Urocitellus parryii (Arctic ground squirrel). Its description in RNAcentral is "lncRNA (ENSUPAG00010005510.1)". The record is from RNAcentral. Lineage: Eukaryota; Metazoa; Chordata; Mammalia; Rodentia; Sciuridae.
CUCCUCCCCGCGCGCCCGGGUCCUAGCGCUCCCGUCUCCCGAGCGCAUGCCCCCGUCCUCCCCGCGACCCCGCGUCCUAGUGCGCCCUGCCACCUGGCAUUUCGCCCUCUAGCGCACGCCACAACCUCUCGUCCCACGUCCCCGGGGCCUAGCGCGCACCGCUGGGUGUCCCCGUUCUCUUAUCGCGCGGCCUCGCCAGGCUCCGAAGAGCCGGCGCCUUUGCCAGGUCUGUGCAAUGGGGCAGGGUCCACUGGGCGUCCACAUGACGGCUUGGGCUCAGUAACUUUGGAACUGAAGCGUUCUGUGAGCCGUUAAUGGGACAGGAAAGAGACUUGAUCGCGGGGGUGAGGUCUCGCGCCCACGAGGCCUCCACCCGRCCUCCUGGGACUCAGCGCGCAGGCAGGGAUGGGCCGGCAGGACAGCCGAAGCAGGGGCCCCGACCAAGCCAACCACCCCGCAUCAGGACCGUGGGGGGUCAGGUCCCAGACUCUGGCAGCUGGUCUGGUGGGUGUCUGUCUUCCCUCCCAGGCGCUGACAGGACUGGCUCUGAAAUGCCCUGCAAGGCUGUGGCCCAGAGCACCGGUGGGCAAAACAGCUGCCCUUGCCCUGGUCCCAUCAGACUCCAAGGAGCUCCUGUGUCCACCUCUGUUCUGCUUGAGCUCAGGGGCUGGUAUGCACAGCCCCUGCCUGGACACUCUGUGGCCAGUGACAUUUCCCUUCACUAGCCAGGAAGCAAGGCCUGCAAGGCAAGUGCAGGAGCUGGACUCAUGUGCACUGCCCAAAUCCGUGGGCUUCCAGGUAACUCGGGGACAUCUCUGCAUGCGAGGGUGAGGGGACAGGAAUGAGGUCAGCAUCAGGUGAGCUUUCUGGGGUCACCUGGCUGCCAGGUGCGGCUUGCCAUUGUGCAGAAGUGCUGGGAAGUGAGGGCCUGAGCCGAGGGGCCAGGACCUGGUAUCCAGGAGCAGCAGCCUGGAGGCAGCUGUCCAGGCCACAGGGUGACUUCCCUGAACUGUGAGACGCUGAGUGCUACCUGGAGGCAGGCCAAGAGAGGUGUCCGGGUCGGGGGACAGGGUGCAUAAGCCACACCUUUUGUUUUCUGCACACCUGGGCUGGGCUGCCCUGGACAGGCUGCCCCUCCUAGGGCUGGCUAAUUCUGGGACUGGCCAAUGACGUCAUGUCCAAAUCACCCAACCUGCGCCCCUCUAUCUUCUUGCCCAUGUGGGGCCACCCACCUGCCCAGUCACCCCAGGGCAGCCAGGGACAGCUCUGUGUCCAGCACCUGCUGAAGGUAUUCAAACUGGCUGAUCCUAAGCCCCCUAUGUGCCCUGCCUGCUCCUUCCUGUGGAGGCCACAGUGGGGGUGCUGCCCGUCGCUCCCCUGCCUGCACUGACCCUGGUGCUUCCCUGAGUGGCCCUGCGUGGAAUGGGGAGCCCCCUCCUCUGGGGUCUGUUAACAAGAGACUGUCUUUCAAUGGCCGGUGUUUCCUGUUCUGCUGACCUCACCACACCUGAACAGUAAUAAAAAUUUU